Molecule: ribosomal RNA, 494 nt
Filed under: uncultured bacterium
Lineage: Bacteria
Description: partial 16S ribosomal RNA
Rfam family: Bacterial small subunit ribosomal RNA
Source: RNAcentral
AUUGAACGCUGGCGGAAUGCUUUACACAUGCAAGUCGAACGGUAGAGGGGCAACCCUUGAGAGUGGCGAACGGGUGAGUAAUGUAUCGGAACAUGCCCAGUCGUGGGGGAUAACGUAGCGAAAGUUACGCUAAUACCGCAUACGAUCUAUGGAUGAAAGCGGGGGAUCGCAAGACCUCGCGCGAUUGGAGUGGCCGAUAUCAGAUUAGGUGGUUGGUGGGGUAAAGGCCUACCAAGCCGACGAUCUGUAGCUGGUCUGAGAGGACGACCAGCCACACUGGGACUGGGACACGGCCCAGACUCCUACGGGGGGCAGCAGUGGGGAAUUUUGGAAAACGGGCGCAAGCCUGAUCCAGCCGUUCCGCGUGCAGGAAGAAGGCCUUCGGGUUGUAAACUGCUUUUGUACGGAACGAAACGCGCUGAGCUAAUACCUCGGCGUAAUGACGGUACCGUAAGAAUAAGCACCGGCUAACUACGUGCCAGCCGCCGCAGUAA